CCGAAUGUUGUAGAGUUUCCGCAUGGGAAUCCUACUAAAGAUGGCCUCUACUUGUAAGCUAUCGCUUUACGAUGGGUCUGCGUCUGAUUAGCUAGUUGGUGGGGUAACGGCCUACCAAGGCGACGAUCAGUAGCCGGUCUGAGAGGAUGAACGGCCACAUUGGAACUGAGACACGGUCCAGACUCCUACGGGAGGCAGCAGUGGGGAAUCUUCCGCAAUGGGCGCAAGCCUGACGGAGCAACGCCGCGUGAGUGAAGAAGGGUUUCGACUCGUAAAGCUCUGUUGUCGGGGACGAAUGUGGAGAUGGUGAAUAACCAUUUCCAAUGACGGUACCUGACGAGGAAGCCACGGCUAACUACGUGCCAGCAGCCGCGGUAAUACGUAGGUGGCGAGCGUUGUCCGGAAUUAUUGGGCGUAAAGGGAGCGCAGGCGGGAAGGUAAGUCUAUCUUAAAAGUGCGGGGCUCAACCCCGUGAGGGGAUGGAAACUAUCUUUCUUGAGUGCAGGAGAGGAAAGCGGAAUUCCUAGUGUAGCGGUGAAAUGUCGUAGAUAUUAGGAGGAACACCAGUGGCGAAGGCGGCUUUCUGGACUGUAACUGACGCUGAGGCUCGAAAGCGUGGGGAGCGAACAGGAUUAGAUACCCUGGUAGUCCACGCCGUAAACGAUGAAUGCUAGGUGUAGGAGGUAUCGACCCCUCCUGUGCCGGAGUUAACGCAAUAAGCAUUCCGCCUGGGGAGUAC
This 739-nucleotide ribosomal RNA is filed under the name uncultured bacterium. Its description in RNAcentral is "bacterial SSU rRNA". It matches the Rfam family "Bacterial small subunit ribosomal RNA", at positions 169 to 883 of the family's 1533-position model. The record is from RNAcentral.